AUUGUUCGGCUGAAUCUUCUCCAUAGGCGGUGUCCUUUGGUUUGACUUUGUAACCUUCUCUUUUUUUCAGUUGAAACGGUCGGCCAGCUCCCUUGCAGCGUGACCUGCCUUCCUUUAGAAGUCAUCGGGGUUUUCAGCCUCUCCUGCCUGGGAGCCCAUCUAGCCAGAUUUUUCUCAAAAUGUAAUCCCGGGACCAACAUCAGCAUCUUUACCGGAGAACAAGUUAAAGGGGCAAAUUCUCAGGCUGCCUCCCAGACCUGCUGGAUCAGAAAAUCUGGAGGGGAGGCCCAGCAAUCUGGGUUUUAACAAGCCCUGCAGACAUCUCAAGUUUGAGAACCACUGGCCUCGCCGUCUCUAGGCGUGGAUGGAAGAGCAUGGACCUAGAGGCACAAUGGCCUGGAUUUGGAUCCUGGACCUGUGCGCUAGUGAUAUGAUUGGGUAAGUCACCUCAUCUCUUGGAGACUCCACUUUCUCAGCAGUGAAAUGGAGGGUAACGAUCGUUUAUAUUGUACAGCAGCUGUAAGAGAAGCACACACCUCUGGGCAUGUGAAAAGCAGUGGUUUCAAUCUUGCCUCUGUGGACCCUGUUCUGACAUGAGAAGAGAAACCGAUUCACCCAGGUCGUGCCCCAUGGAGACAAAACCUGAGGUUUUUUUUUUUUUUUAAAGAACCCAUGGCCCUAACAGAACAGGUUACUGUUUGGAGUUUAUACCAAAUCUGUGCCCCCAGAUCUUAGUAUUGGUACUAGACUCCCCUAGGCUAUCACUGGAUGGUUGGGAAUUAAGCCCAAUUAAUCUGAAACUCAUUGUGAUUCCCCAGGUUUCACUGACCUAUUUUCCUGCUAUGUUAUGAGAACUAUGCAGUCUGGGCCAUCCUAGAAUAAAACGAGAUCAGGAGAUCA
This 900-nucleotide long non-coding RNA is filed under the name Felis catus (domestic cat). Its description in RNAcentral is "lncRNA (ENSFCAG00000040518.2)". The record is from RNAcentral. Lineage: Eukaryota; Metazoa; Chordata; Mammalia; Carnivora; Felidae.